This 262-nucleotide ribosomal RNA is filed under the name Acinetobacter baumannii. RNAcentral's name for it is "partial 23S ribosomal RNA". It matches the Rfam family "Bacterial large subunit ribosomal RNA", at positions 918 to 1177 of the family's 2925-position model. The record is from RNAcentral. Lineage: Bacteria; Pseudomonadati; Pseudomonadota; Gammaproteobacteria; Moraxellales; Moraxellaceae.
GCUAGGGGGUCAUCCCGACUUACCAACCCGAUGCAAACUACGAAUACCGAAGAAUGUUAUCACGGGAGACACACGGCGGGUGCUAACGUCCGUCGUGAAGAGGGAAACAACCCAGACCGCCAGCUAAGGUCCCAAAGUCAUGGUUAAGUGGGAAACGAUGUGGGAAGGCACAGACAGCCAGGAUGUUGGCUUAGAAGCAGCCAUCAUUUAAAGAAAGCGUAAUCGCUCACUGGUCGAGUCGGCCUGCGCGGAAGAUGUAACG